Molecule: ribosomal RNA, 602 nt
Filed under: bacterium
Lineage: Bacteria
Description: bacterial SSU rRNA
Rfam family: Bacterial small subunit ribosomal RNA
Source: RNAcentral
UUCGGGGAACGAUAACGGCGUCGAGCGGCGGACGGGUGAGUAAUGCCUGGGAAAUUGCCCUGAUGUGGGGGAUAACCAUUGGAAACGAUGGCUAAUACCGCAUGAUGCCUACGGGCCAAAGAGGGGGACCUUCGGGCCUCUCGCGUCAGGAUAUGCCUAGGUGGGAUUAGCUAGUUGGUGAGGUAAGGGCUCACCAAGGCGACGAUCCCUAGCUGGUCUGAGAGGAUGAUCAGCCACACUGGAACUGAGACACGGUCCAGACUCCUACGGGAGGCAGCAGUGGGGAAUAUUGCACAAUGGGCGCAAGCCUGAUGCAGCCAUGCCGCGUGUAUGAAGAAGGCCUUCGGGUUGUAAAGUACUUUCAGUCGUGAGGAAGGCUCAUGCGUUAAUAGCGUAUGGAUUUGACGUUAGCGACAGAAGAAGCACCGGCUAACUCCGUGCCAGCAGCCGCGGUAAUACGGAGGGUGCGAGCGUUAAUCGGAAUUACUGGGCGUAAAGCGCAUGCAGGUGGUGUGUUAAGUCAGAUGUGAAAGCCCGGGGCUCAACCUCGGAAUAGCAUUUGAAACUGGCAGACUAGAGUACUGUAGAGGGGGGUAGAAUUU